Non-coding RNA from Fimicolochytrium jonesii, 83 nucleotides. The record is from the annotation of a RefSeq genome assembly. Lineage: Eukaryota; Fungi; Chytridiomycota; Chytridiomycetes; Spizellomycetales; Powellomycetaceae.
GCGGGGUUGGCUCAGCUGGUAGUAGCGCAGGUCUCAUAUUCCGAGAUAUCCUGAGGUCGCGAGUUCGAUCCUCGCAUCCCGCA